GAUGAACGCUGGCGGCGUGCCUAAUACAUGCAAGUCGAGCGAACGGACGAGAAGCUUGCUUCUCUGAUGUUAGCGGCGGACGGGUGAGUAACACGUGGAUAACCUACCUAUAAGACUGGGAUAACUUCGGGAAACCGUAGCUAAUACCGGAUCAUAUUUUGAACCGCAUGGUUCAAAAGUGAAAGACGGUCUUGCUGUCACUUAUAGAUGGAUCCGCGCUGCAUUAGCUAGUUGGUAAGGUAACGGCUUACCAAGGCAACGAUGCAUAGCCGACCUGAGAGGGUGAUCGGCCACACUGGAACUGAGACACGGUCCAGACUCCUACGGGAGGCAGCAGUAGGGAAUCUUCCGCAAUGGGCGAAAGCCUGACGGAGCAACGCCGCGUGAGUGAUGAAGGUCUUCGGAUCGUAAAGCUCUGUUAGUAGGGAAGAACAUAUGUGUAAGUAACUGUGCACAUCUUGACGGUACCUAAUCAGAAAGCCACGGCUAACUACGUG
Molecule: ribosomal RNA, 497 nt
Filed under: uncultured bacterium
Lineage: Bacteria
Description: partial 16S ribosomal RNA
Rfam family: Bacterial small subunit ribosomal RNA
Source: RNAcentral